RNAcentral lists this long non-coding RNA (1127 nucleotides) under Mytilus galloprovincialis (Mediterranean mussel). The record is from RNAcentral. Lineage: Eukaryota; Metazoa; Mollusca; Bivalvia; Mytilida; Mytilidae.
AAGAAAUACUUUCUCAAAGUAUAAGUAUGGUAAAUUAUUGUCUGACAGUGUUAACAAAAUUUAUAGGUGUAAUUGAUUUUUGACAUAUUUCAGUAUUUGGGACCUUCAAACUGUUCCAAAGAUAGUGAAGCAGCAACUAUAGUUUCACUUAUUUUUUUUUCAAUUUUGCAAAGUCUGAUUUUUUCUAAUGGAGAAAUUGUUGGUUUCUUUUUAACGGACCCGGAUAUUUGGAUCGUUUUACACAAGUAAUUGUUGGUCCCUUUAUAAAAUUGAGAAUGGAAAUAGGGAAUGUGUCAAAGAGACAACGACCCGACCAUAUGACAGACAACAGCAGGAGGUUACCAAUAGGUUUGCAAUAGCUUACUUUUCAACAUUGAACGCACGUUUUAGAAAAAAAUACUGAAUAGGUAAUAUAGAUAAGAGAUAUAUUCUGAGAAAAAAAUUAGCAACAGACGGGCUUUAUCGAUGGAUGCAACUAUACAAAGUAUGUUUACCGACAUACCGUCCCCGCUUUUACAACGCUUCUUUUUAGAAUACAUGUACUUCAAAUAUUAUAGUGCUCUUACUUUCAGUACAGAUCCUGAAAAAAAGUUUACCUAUCCAGAACAGAUACAUGUAGAAGUGUUUCAGUGCCAGUUUGCAUGUUUUUCGAGGCAGAAAUCUUUUUGGAAAGACAUUAUUCAGGUUUAACAGAGUUAAAAAAAAAUCAUACUAGACAGUGGUGAAUUCAUCUAAAAUAUCACUGUUUCACGCCUGUUUCACGCCGUGAAAUUACUGCACAGGUACAAUUAUACAUUGGGAAAAAAAGUGUUAAACUACUUUUACAAGGUGAUAAAGAAAGUCGAAUCGUGAAGCCCGUAAACAAUACUUUUUUAAUCUGUGCAUGCAAAUUGAAGAUUGUGUUAUACAAUAAACAUAUUCGCAGAUCAAAUAUUUUGAGAGUCCCAGACACUAUAUUUGUUGACACUUUCCCACUAAUUCCACGUAUUUUCAAGUGAUAGUAAAUUCGUAGUAGCCUACAAUGCAUUGUAGUUCAUUGAGUCGAUUGGUCAGUUUUUCAAGGUCGUGUGUUUUGGAAAUUACUAUGCAAAUAUAUUCUGACAGGAAAUCUAGAGUUCUUGACCUGU